Molecule: ribosomal RNA, 467 nt
Filed under: uncultured bacterium
Lineage: Bacteria
Description: partial 16S ribosomal RNA
Rfam family: Bacterial small subunit ribosomal RNA
Source: RNAcentral
GACGAACGCUGGCGGCGUGCUUAACACAUGCAAGUCGAACGGAAAGGCCCUGCUUUUGUGGGGUGCUCGAGUGGCGAACGGGUGAGUAACACGUGAGUAACCUGCCCUUGACUUUGGGAUAACUUCAGGAAACUGGGGCUAAUACCGGAUAGGAGCUCCUGCUGCAUGGUGGGGGUUGGAAAGUUUCGGCGGUUGGGGAUGGACUCGCGGCUUAUCAGCUUGUUGGUGGGGUAGUGGCUUACCAAGGCUUUGACGGGUAGCCGGCCUGAGAGGGUGACCGGCCACAUUGGGACUGAGAUACGGCCCAGACCCCUACGGGAGGCAGCAGGGGGGAAUUUUGCAAAAGGGGCGGAAGCCUGAUGCGGAAACGCCGGGGGCGGGAUGACGGCCUUGGGGUUGUAAACCGUUUUCGCCUGUGACGAAGGGUGGGUGACGGUAAUGGGUAAAGAAGCACCGGCUAACUACGU